GAAGUGUACUGCCACAAUCACAAAAAGGUGUGAUACCUUUUCAUGGGCAUGUGGAGAUUUUUAGUUUUAGUUAGAUAUUGAAAGCUUUCUCAGUAACUUGUAGCAAAUUCAUAACUUGGUAAAUCAUUUCAGUUCUACUAAGGAAUAUAAAACUUAAAAUCAUUUUGUUACUCCAAUAUUGGUGGCAGUUCUACAAUCUUGAAAUUUAUGUGCGUUUCCAGCUUAUCUUGUUGAUAACACACUAUCAGU
Molecule: unclassified non-coding RNA, 249 nt
Filed under: Hevea brasiliensis (rubber tree)
Lineage: Eukaryota; Viridiplantae; Streptophyta; Magnoliopsida; Malpighiales; Euphorbiaceae
Source: RNAcentral